RNAcentral lists this ribosomal RNA (468 nucleotides) under uncultured bacterium. Its description in RNAcentral is "partial 16S ribosomal RNA". It matches the Rfam family "Bacterial small subunit ribosomal RNA", at positions 28 to 507 of the family's 1533-position model. The record is from RNAcentral.
GACGAACGCUGGCGGCGUGCUUAACACAUGCAAGUCGAACGGAAAGGCCCUGCGUUUGUGGGGUGCUCGAGGGGCGAACGGGGGAGUAACACGUGAGUAACCUGCCCUUGACUUUGGGAUAACUUCGGGAAACUGGGGUUACUACCGGACAGGAGCCCACGCUGCAUGGAGGGGGUUGGAACGUUUCGGCGGUCGGGGCUGGACUCGCGGCUUAUGAGCUUGUUGGUGGGGGAGUGGCAUACCCAGGCUGUGACGGGUCGCCGGCCUGAGAGGGUGGCCGGCCACAUGGCGCCUGAGGUACGGCGCAGACUCGUACGGGAGGCAGCGGUGGGGAGUAUGGCACAGUGGGCCCAAGCCUGAUGCAGCAACGCCGCGUGCGGGAUGACGGUCUUCGGGUUGUAAACCGCUUUCGCCUGUGAUGAAGCGUGUGUGACGGUAACGGGUAAAGAAGCACCGGCUAACUUCGUG